AGUGAACGCUGGCGGUAGGCCUAACACAUGCAAGUCGAACGGCAGCACAGUAAGAGCUUGCUCUUACGGGUGGCGAGUGGCGGACGGGUGAGGAAUACAUCGGAAUCUACUUUUUCGUGGGGGAUAACGUAGGGAAACUUACGCUAAUACCGCAUACGACCUACGGGUGAAAGCAGGGGAUCUUCGGACCUUGCGCGAUUGAAUGAGCCGAUGUCGGAUUAGCUAGUUGGCGGGGUAAAGGCCCACCAAGGCGACGAUCCGUAGCUGGUCUGAGAGGAUGAUCAGCCACACUGGAAGUGAGACACGGUCCAGACUACUACGGGAGGCAGCAGUGGGGAAUAUUGGACAAUGGGCGCAAGCCUGAUACAGCCAUACCGCGUGGGUGAAGAAGGCCUUCGGGUUGUAAAGCCCUUUUGUUGGGAAAGAAAAGCAGCAGGUUAAUACCCCGCUGUUCUGACGGUACCCAAAGAAUAAGCACCGGCUAACUUCGUG
Molecule: ribosomal RNA, 492 nt
Filed under: uncultured bacterium
Lineage: Bacteria
Description: partial 16S ribosomal RNA
Rfam family: Bacterial small subunit ribosomal RNA
Source: RNAcentral